CCGGCCAACCGCGCUUGCUCGACGCCCUCCGGAGCCAAUCCGAACUCUGGGAGUGUUCCAUUUUCCAUGGAAGAGACGAUGAGGCCCUUCGCGUUGGGGACGCUCCUGCCGUGCCUCAGAAUCCAGUAGCUGUUGCGAAGGAAUGGCGAUCCCUCGGCCAUCUCUGCACAACCGAGGGGGAGGAAGCGAGUGAUAAAUGGGGAAGAAGCGG
RNAcentral lists this unclassified non-coding RNA (211 nucleotides) under Hevea brasiliensis (rubber tree). Lineage: Eukaryota; Viridiplantae; Streptophyta; Magnoliopsida; Malpighiales; Euphorbiaceae. The record is from RNAcentral.